Molecule: ribosomal RNA, 329 nt
Filed under: uncultured bacterium
Lineage: Bacteria
Description: bacterial SSU rRNA
Rfam family: Bacterial small subunit ribosomal RNA
Source: RNAcentral
GAUGAACGCUGGCGGCGUGCCUAACACAUGCAAGUCGAACGGACAUUUUUGGAAAGUUCUUCGGAACUGGAAUCUAAAUGUUAGUGGCGGACGGGUGAGUAACGCGUGAGCAAUCUGCCUUUCAGAGGGGGACAACAGCUGGAAACGGCUGCUAAGACCGCAUAGGCGCGGACGGGACAUCCCGUCCACGUUAAACGUCCUUUAGGGGACGGCUGAAGGAUGGGCCUGUGGCGCAUUAGCUUGUUGGCGGGGCAACGGCCCACCAAGGCGACGAUGCGUAGCCGGCCUGAGAGGGCGGACGGCCACACUGGGACUGAGACACGGCCCAG